CCUACGUGAGGCAGCAGUGAGGAAUAUUGGUCAAUUGGCGUAAGCCUGAACCAGCCAAGUCGCGUGAGGGAUGAAGGUUCUAUGGAUCGUAAACCUCUUUUAUAAGGGAAUAAAGUGCGGGACGUGUCCCUUUUUGUAUGUACCUUAUGACUAAGGAUCGGCUAACUACGUGCCAGCAGCCGCGGUAAUACGGAGGAUCCGAUCGUUAUCCGGAUUUAUUGGGUUUAAAGGGUGAGUAGGCUGCCUUUUAAGUCAGCGGUGAAAGUCUUUGGCUCAACCAUAGAAUUGCCGUUGAAACUGGGAGUCUUGAGUAUGUUUGAGGCAGGCGGAAUGCGUGGUGUAGCGGUGAAAGGCUUAGAUAUCACGCAGAACCCCGAUUGCGAAGGCAGCCUGCCAAGCCAUGACUGACGCUGAUGCACGAAAGCGUGGGGAUCAAACAGGAUUAGAUACCCCAGUAGUC
This 460-nucleotide ribosomal RNA is filed under the name uncultured bacterium. RNAcentral describes it as "partial 16S ribosomal RNA". It matches the Rfam family "Bacterial small subunit ribosomal RNA", at positions 338 to 795 of the family's 1533-position model. The record is from RNAcentral.